GACGAACGCUGGCGGCGUGCUUAACACAUGCAAGUCGAACGGAAAGGCCCGGCUUUUGUGGGGUGCUCGAGUGGCGAACGGGGGAGUAACACGUGAGUAACCUGCCCUUGACUUUGGGAUAACUUCUGGAAACUGGGGCGAAUACCGGAUAGGAACUCCUGCAGCAUGGUGGGGGUUGGAAAGUUUCGGCGGUUGGGGAUGGACUCGAGGCUUAUCAGCUUGUUGGUGGGGUAGUGGCUUACCAAGGCGUUGACGGGUAGCCGGCCUGAGAGGGUGACCGGCCACAUUGGGACUGAGAUAGGGGCAAGACUCCUACGGGAGGCAGCAGUGGGGAAUAUUGCACAAUGGGCCGAAGCCUGAUGCAGCAGCGCCGCGUGCGGGAUGACGGCCUUCAGGUUGUAACCCGCUUUCGCCUGUGACGAAGCGUGAGUGACGGUAAUGGGUAAAGAAGCACCGGCUAACUACGUG
This 468-nucleotide ribosomal RNA is filed under the name uncultured bacterium. RNAcentral's name for it is "partial 16S ribosomal RNA". It matches the Rfam family "Bacterial small subunit ribosomal RNA", at positions 28 to 507 of the family's 1533-position model. The record is from RNAcentral.